GUCUAUGGCCAUGACACCCUAAACAAGCCCAAUCCCAUCUGAUCUCGGAGGGUAAGCAAGGUCGGGCCUGGUUAGUACUUGGAUGGGAGACCACCUAGGAAGACCAGGUGCUGUAGGUG
This 119-nucleotide ribosomal RNA is filed under the name Pteropus alecto (black flying fox). The record is from RNAcentral. Lineage: Eukaryota; Metazoa; Chordata; Mammalia; Chiroptera; Pteropodidae.